AACUUUCAACAACGGAUCUCUUGGUUCUGGCAUCGAUGAAGAACGCAGCGAAAUGCGAUAAGUAAUGUGAAUUGCAGAAUUCAGUGAAUCAUCGAAUCUUUGAACGCACAUUGCGCCCCUUGGUAUUCCGAGGGGCAUGCCUGUUC
Molecule: ribosomal RNA, 146 nt
Filed under: Cladonia subtenuis
Lineage: Eukaryota; Fungi; Ascomycota; Lecanoromycetes; Lecanorales; Cladoniaceae
Description: 5.8S ribosomal RNA
Rfam family: 5.8S ribosomal RNA
About the family: 5.8S ribosomal RNA (5.8S rRNA) is a component of the large subunit of the eukaryotic ribosome. It is transcribed by RNA polymerase I as part of the 45S precursor that also contains 18S and 28S rRNA.
Source: RNAcentral